Molecule: ribosomal RNA, 440 nt
Filed under: uncultured bacterium
Lineage: Bacteria
Description: partial 16S ribosomal RNA
Rfam family: Bacterial small subunit ribosomal RNA
Source: RNAcentral
CCUACGGGUGGCUGCAGUGGGGAAUAUUGCACAAUGGGGGGAACCCUGAUGCAGCGACGCCGCGUGAAGGAAGAAGUAUUUCGGUAUGUAAACUUCCAUCAGCAGGGAAGAAAAUGACGGUACCUGACUAAGAAGCCCCGGCUAACUACGGGCCAGCAGCCGCGGUAAAACGUAGGGGGCACGCGUUAUCCGGAUUUACUGGGUGUAAAGGGAGCGUAGGCGGGAGUGCAAGUACGAAGGGAAAGCCCAAGGGUCAACCAUGGGACUGCUUUUGAAAAUGUACAGCUAGAUUGCAGGAGAGGUAAGGGGAAUUCCUAGUGUAGCGGUGAAAUGCGUAGAUAUUACGAGGAACACCAGUGGCGAAGGCGGCUUACUGGACUGUAAAUGACGCUGAGGCUCGAAAGCGUGGGGAGCAAACAGGAUUAGAUACCCCGGUAGUC